UACGAAGGGGGCUAGCGUUGUUCGGAAUCACUGGGCGUAAAGGGCGCGUAGGCGGCCUGAUAAGUCGGGGGUGAAAGCCUGUGGCUCAACCACAGAAUUGCCUUCGAUACUGUCGGGCUUGAGACCGGAAGAGGUAAGUGGAACUGCGAGUGUAGAGGUGAAAUUCGUAGAUAUUCGCAAGAACACCAGUGGCGAAGGCGGCUUACUGGUCCGGUUCUGACGCUGAGGCGCGAAAGCGUGGGGAGCAAACAGG
Molecule: ribosomal RNA, 253 nt
Filed under: uncultured bacterium
Lineage: Bacteria
Description: partial 16S ribosomal RNA
Rfam family: Bacterial small subunit ribosomal RNA
Source: RNAcentral